RNAcentral lists this non-coding RNA (102 nucleotides) under Pontibacillus marinus. RNAcentral describes it as "Guanine sequence". It matches the Rfam family "Purine riboswitch aptamer". Rfam says of the family: Riboswitches are metabolite binding domains within certain messenger RNAs that serve as precision sensors for their corresponding targets. RNAcentral also lists the same sequence under 1 other name. Lineage: Bacteria; Bacillati; Bacillota; Bacilli; Caryophanales; Bacillaceae. The record is from RNAcentral.
UGCAACUUAAUAAGAGACCUUCAUAUAUCCUCGAUAAUACGGUUCGAGAGUCUCUACCGGAGCACCGAUAAUGCUCUGACUAUGAAGGCAGAAGCCGUGUGA